Molecule: ribosomal RNA, 1552 nt
Filed under: Enterobacter cloacae
Lineage: Bacteria; Pseudomonadati; Pseudomonadota; Gammaproteobacteria; Enterobacterales; Enterobacteriaceae
Description: bacterial SSU rRNA
Rfam family: Bacterial small subunit ribosomal RNA
Source: RNAcentral
UUAAAUUGAAGAGUUUGAUCAUGGCUCAGAUUGAACGCUGGCGGCAGGCCUAACACAUGCAAGUCGAACGGUAGCACAGAGAGCUUGCUCUCGGGUGACGAGUGGCGGACGGGUGAGUAAUGUCUGGGAAACUGCCUGAUGGAGGGGGAUAACUACUGGAAACGGUAGCUAAUACCGCAUAACGUCGCAAGACCAAAGAGGGGGACCUUCGGGCCUCUUGCCAUCAGAUGUGCCCAGAUGGGAUUAGCUAGUAGGUGGGGUAACGGCUCACCUAGGCGACGAUCCCUAGCUGGUCUGAGAGGAUGACCAGCCACACUGGAACUGAGACACGGUCCAGACUCCUACGGGAGGCAGCAGUGGGGAAUAUUGCACAAUGGGCGCAAGCCUGAUGCAGCCAUGCCGCGUGUAUGAAGAAGGCCUUCGGGUUGUAAAGUACUUUCAGCGGGGAGGAAGGUGUUGUGGUUAAUAACCACAGCAAUUGACGUUACCCGCAGAAGAAGCACCGGCUAACUCCGUGCCAGCAGCCGCGGUAAUACGGAGGGUGCAAGCGUUAAUCGGAAUUACUGGGCGUAAAGCGCACGCAGGCGGUCUGUCAAGUCGGAUGUGAAAUCCCCGGGCUCAACCUGGGAACUGCAUUCGAAACUGGCAGGCUAGAGUCUUGUAGAGGGGGGUAGAAUUCCAGGUGUAGCGGUGAAAUGCGUAGAGAUCUGGAGGAAUACCGGUGGCGAAGGCGGCCCCCUGGACAAAGACUGACGCUCAGGUGCGAAAGCGUGGGGAGCAAACAGGAUUAGAUACCCUGGUAGUCCACGCCGUAAACGAUGUCGAUUUGGAGGUUGUGCCCUUGAGGCGUGGCUUCCGGAGCUAACGCGUUAAAUCGACCGCCUGGGGAGUACGGCCGCAAGGUUAAAACUCAAAUGAAUUGACGGGGGCCCGCACAAGCGGUGGAGCAUGUGGUUUAAUUCGAUGCAACGCGAAGAACCUUACCUGGUCUUGACAUCCACAGAACUUUCCAGAGAUGGAUUGGUGCCUUCGGGAACUGUGAGACAGGUGCUGCAUGGCUGUCGUCAGCUCGUGUUGUGAAAUGUUGGGUUAAGUCCCGCAACGAGCGCAACCCUUAUCCUUUGUUGCCAGCGGUCCGGCCGGGAACUCAAAGGAGACUGCCAGUGAUAAACUGGAGGAAGGUGGGGAUGACGUCAAGUCAUCAUGGCCCUUACGACCAGGGCUACACACGUGCUACAAUGGCGCAUACAAAGAGAAGCGACCUCGCGAGAGCAAGCGGACCUCAUAAAGUGCGUCGUAGUCCGGAUUGGAGUCUGCAACUCGACUCCAUGAAGUCGGAAUCGCUAGUAAUCGUAGAUCAGAAUGCUACGGUGAAUACGUUCCCGGGCCUUGUACACACCGCCCGUCACACCAUGGGAGUGGGUUGCAAAAGAAGUAGGUAGCUUAACCUUCGGGAGGGCGCUUACCACUUUGUGAUUCAUGACUGGGGUGAAGUCGUAACAAGGUAACCGUAGGGGAACCUGCGGUUGGAUCACCUCCUUACCUUAAAGAA